This 306-nucleotide unclassified non-coding RNA is filed under the name plant metagenome. RNAcentral's name for it is "partial contains 5.8S ribosomal RNA, internal transcribed spacer 2, and large subunit ribosomal RNA". The stretch from base 1 to 105 matches the Rfam family "5.8S ribosomal RNA", at positions 50 to 154 of the family's 154-position model. The record is from RNAcentral.
GAAAUGCGAUAAGUAAUGUGAAUUGCAGAAUUCAGUGAAUCAUCGAAUCUUUGAACGCACAUUGCGCCCGCCAGUAUUCUGGCGGGCAUGCCUGUCCGAGCGUCAUUUCAACCAUCAAGCCCCCGGGCUUGUGUUGGGGACCUGCGGCUGCCCGCAGGCUCUGAAAACCAGUGGCGGGCUCGCUGUCACACCGAGCGUAGUAGCAAUCACCUCGCUCAGGGCGUGCUGCGGGUUCCGGCCGUUAAACAGCCUUACAAAACCCAAGGUUGACCUCGGAUCAGGUAGGAAGACCCGCUGAACUUAAGC